Molecule: small nuclear RNA, 102 nt
Organism: Saimiri boliviensis boliviensis (Bolivian squirrel monkey)
Lineage: Eukaryota; Metazoa; Chordata; Mammalia; Primates; Cebidae
Source: RefSeq, a predicted model, not a curated record
UGACUUCAGCAGUAAAUACACUAAAAUUGGAAUGAUACAGAGAAGUGAACAUGGUCUCUGCACAAGGAUGACAUGCAGAUUUGUGAAGCGUUCUAUAUAUUU